Molecule: transfer RNA, 77 nt
Filed under: Alcanivoracaceae bacterium
Lineage: Bacteria; Pseudomonadati; Pseudomonadota; Gammaproteobacteria; Oceanospirillales; Alcanivoracaceae
Also listed under: 1 other name
Description: tRNA-Thr
Rfam family: tRNA
About the family: Transfer RNA (tRNA) molecules are approximately 80 nucleotides in length. Their secondary structure includes four short double-helical elements and three loops (D, anti-codon, and T loops).
Source: RNAcentral
GCUGGCGUAGCUCAAUUUGGUAGAGCAGCUGAUUUGUAAUCAGCCGGUUGUAGGUUCAAGUCCUAUCGCCAGCUCCA